Molecule: long non-coding RNA, 444 nt
Organism: Mesocricetus auratus (golden hamster)
Lineage: Eukaryota; Metazoa; Chordata; Mammalia; Rodentia; Cricetidae
Exons: 3
Source: RefSeq, a predicted model, not a curated record
ACCUUGGCCAGGGCUCCACCUCCUAUGGAUUUUAGAAGUCUUCCUUCCUUACCCACCUCCAUUUCUGAAAAAGCCACCGGGAAUACAGUUUGUUCCUGGUUUCCCUCCAAUUCCCUGCAAGAUCUAGAAAGGAAUCCGGUUCAUGGAUUCCCAUCUCAUAACUGAGGACAAAGAGGCUCAGAGAAGUCUGGAAACUUGUCUCAGUUAAGACAGCUAAGUAGUGAUGGAUAGGGACUAUGUAAUGAGCCCACCAUGGGGCUCAAAUCCUUAACAGCUGCCCCUGGCUUGCCACAUUGAGUCUUCCUCCAGUUCUGAGCUUGCAGAGAUGCCCAAUAAGGUCCAACUUGAUGGAAUUCUUCAGCAGAGUUUCCCCACUGAAGUAAUUUCUAAACAGUGAGUUCCAAACAUCCGAAGGGAGUCCUGUGAACAAGGAAGAGCUCCAGA